RNAcentral lists this ribosomal RNA (253 nucleotides) under uncultured bacterium. RNAcentral describes it as "partial 16S ribosomal RNA". It matches the Rfam family "Bacterial small subunit ribosomal RNA", at positions 524 to 776 of the family's 1533-position model. The record is from RNAcentral.
UACGGAGGGUGCGAACGUUAAUCGGAAUUACUGGGCGUAAAGCGCGCGUAGGCGGUUCGGUAAGGGGGAUGUGAAAGCCCCGGGCUUAACCUGGGAACUGCAUUCCAAAACGCCGAGCUUGAGUAUGGUAGAGGGAGGUAGAAUUUACUGUGUAGCGGUGAAAUGCGUAGAAAUAUGAAGGCAUAACAGUGGCGAAGGCGGCCUCCUGGAUCAAUACUGCCGCUGAGGUGCGAAAGCGUGGGGAGCAACCAGC